This 404-nucleotide ribosomal RNA is filed under the name uncultured prokaryote. RNAcentral's name for it is "bacterial SSU rRNA". It matches the Rfam family "Bacterial small subunit ribosomal RNA", at positions 355 to 776 of the family's 1533-position model. RNAcentral also lists the same sequence under 1 other name. The record is from RNAcentral.
UGAGGAAUAUUGGGCAAUGGGCGCAAGCCUGACCCAGCAAUGCCGCGUGAAGGAUGAAGGUUUUCGGAUUGUAAACUUCUUUUGUCAAGGACGAUAAUGACGGUACUUGACGAAUAAGCCACGGCUAACUACGUGCCAGCAGCCGCGGUAAUACGUAGGUGGCAAGCGUUGUCCGGAUUUACUGGGUGUAAAGGGCGAGUAGGCGGUUUUGCAAGUCAGAUGUGAAAGGCGGGGGCUCAACCCCCGAGCUGCAUUUGAAACUGUAGGACUUGAGUGAUGGAGAGGCAGGCGGAAUUCCCGGUGUAGCGGUGGAAUGCGUAGAGAUCGGGAGGAACACCAGUGGCGAAGGCGGCCUGCUGGACAUUAACUGACGCUGAGGAGCGAAAGCGUGGGGAGCAAACAGG